GAGGUAGUCCAAAUGGUCCAGUGCAAGAAAACUGGGGGACAAAAGAUCAUGCCCAUUUUCUAUGAUGUGGCGGCUUCGGAGGUUCGAUACCAAACCGGGGGUUAUAAAGACGCCUUUCUUUUACAUGAAAGCAAGAAGCGAUGUGACCAAAAGACCAUCGGAGAGUGGAAGGCUGCUCUCAGUGCAGUUGGGGAAAUAAACGGAUGGGACCUGCAUAUCAAGGGGGAGAACAGGUGAGCGUGAUUGGUUUGGUAAAGGGAGCAAUCUUAUUGUUACUACUAGAAACAAAGAGGUUCUUGAUGCUCUCCAAGUGGACGGCCGUUAUGAGCUUAUGGGCAUGGAUCGCGAUCAAUCUCUUCAACUUUUUAGCAAACAUGCCUUUAGAAGAGAUUCCCCUUUAGACGAACAUAUCUUCCAAUCCAACAGGGCGAUAGACAUUGCUGGAGGUCUUCCGCUCGCUCUUGAAGUCAUAGGUUCACUUUUAUCUCGCACUGAAAAGGAAAAGUGGGAUGCCACAUUGGAGACGCUAAAAAAAGUUCCUCGUGAGGAAGUUCAGAGUAAGCUGAAAAUAAGCUACGAUGCAUUAGAUUUGCAGCAAAAGCGUAUGUUCCUUGACAUAGCUUGUCUUUUCAUUGGAUAUGAUAAAGACAUUCUGCUUCAUUUCUGGAUUGAAUUUGAUUUUUUUCCCGAAGUGGCCAUGGAAGUUUUGCAGAACUUAUCUUUGAUUAAGAUUACAGAGGAUAAUGAAGUGUGGAUGCACGAUCAAGUCAGAGAUCUUGGAAGACAUAUAGUUCGUCAAGAAAGUAAGAUGAAAAUAGAGAAGCAAAGUAGGGUGUGGGAUCAUAAGCAAGGAUUCGAUUUGCUGAGGCAACGUAAGGGAAAAAAAGAAGUUGAAGCUCUUCGUCUCAACUUGGAACAUCAGCCGCCGAAUGGUUUUACCUACGAGGGCUUUGAGAACCUAUCAGAUCUAAGGUUCCUUGAAGUGGAUGGUUCGAUGGUAUCUUUUCAUGCAGAAGAGAGGCUUCUUUGGCCCAAAUCACCAUCUAAUGUUCUUUCAACUAAUGAGAAUACAGAUCUCCUUCCGCAAUUAUGAUGGCUUUCGUGGCAUGAUUUUCCCCCAACAUUUAACAUUGCAAAUUUCUUCGUUGAGGAUCUGGUUAUUCUCAAUCUAUCUAAGAGUAAAAUUACGGAUGAUUGGAAGGGUUGGAGGCACAUGAAGUUGAUGAAGAAUUUGAAAGUUCCGAAUCUAUCAAAAUGUCGAAAUCUAAAAAGGCUGCCAGACGAGCCGGGUAGAUAUCUUGCAAGCCUUGAAUACUUAUCUCCGGAAGAUUGCGUAUGGUUGGAGAGGCUUCCGAAUUCAAUUGAAAAUUUGGAAUUGCUGAUUGAGUUGGAUAUAUCCGGGACGAGGAUCGAAGAACUGCCAGAUUCCAU
Molecule: RNA transcript, 1431 nt
Organism: Rhodamnia argentea
Lineage: Eukaryota; Viridiplantae; Streptophyta; Magnoliopsida; Myrtales; Myrtaceae
Gene name: toll/interleukin-1 receptor-like protein
Exons: 4
Source: RefSeq, a predicted model, not a curated record